CACGUAGUUAGCCGGGGCUUCUUGGUCGGGUACCGUCCGCGGCUCUCGCGAACCGUGUUUCUUCCCCGCUGACAGAGCUUUACGCGCCGAAACGCUUCUUCACUCACGCGGCGUCGCCGCAUCAGGGUUUCCCCCAUUGUGCAAUAUUCCCCACUGCUGCCUCCCGUAGGAGUUUGGGCCGUGUCUCAGUCCCAAUGUGGCCGUCCGCCCUCUCAGGCCGGCUACUGAUCGUCGCCUUGGUGGGCCGUUACCCCGCCAACCAGCUAAUCAGACGCGGGUCCAUCCCGUACCACCGGAGUUUUCAAGAAGGAACAUGCGUCCCCUUCUGUUAUGCGGUAUUAGCACCUGUUUCCAGGUGUUAUCCCCCGGUACGGGGCAGGGUUCCCCACGCGUUACUCACCCGUCCGCCACUAAGGCCCGCGCCUUCCGGGUCUGGUAAACCAUCCCCCUUCCGCCGCUGGCCCCCCGUUCGACCUUGCAUGUGUUAGGCACGCCGCCAGCGUUCAUCCUGAGCCAGGAUCAAACUCU
RNAcentral lists this ribosomal RNA (528 nucleotides) under uncultured Eubacteriales bacterium. RNAcentral describes it as "uncultured Clostridiales bacterium partial 16S ribosomal RNA". Lineage: Bacteria; Bacillati; Bacillota; Clostridia; Eubacteriales. The record is from RNAcentral.